This 84-nucleotide transfer RNA is filed under the name Phytophthora infestans (potato late blight agent). RNAcentral's name for it is "tRNA-Phe". The stretch from base 8 to 79 matches the Rfam family "tRNA", at positions 5 to 66 of the family's 71-position model. Rfam says of the family: Transfer RNA (tRNA) molecules are approximately 80 nucleotides in length. Lineage: Eukaryota; Oomycota; Peronosporomycetes; Peronosporales; Peronosporaceae. The record is from RNAcentral.
GACGCCUCGAUAGCUCAGUUGGGAGAGCGUCAGACUGAAGAUCUGAAGGUCCCUGGUUCGAUCCGUCCCCGCCCGGUCGCCUCG